GUCAACCCAUUCAUCAAACAGUAGUUGUUUAAUUCAGUUCAGGCAAUUGCCUUAAGGUUAUUGGCAGCUGGGACUUGAACAACCGGGUACAACUCACUCUUUCGUUGGUUACAUUGGCCAGGACGUGGAAUGGAUAGAAGAAAAUACGCCUGCAGAAAUACAAAAAUUGUGCAUUAUCAAAUUGUAAGGUGAUUAGAUUGGAACAAGUACAAGCCAACUG
Ctenocephalides felis (cat flea) is the source of this 220-nucleotide long non-coding RNA. RefSeq lists it as uncharacterized. The transcript has 3 exons. Lineage: Eukaryota; Metazoa; Arthropoda; Insecta; Siphonaptera; Pulicidae. The record is from RefSeq and is a predicted model, not a curated record.